Molecule: ribosomal RNA, 466 nt
Filed under: uncultured bacterium
Lineage: Bacteria
Description: partial 16S ribosomal RNA
Rfam family: Bacterial small subunit ribosomal RNA
Source: RNAcentral
GAUGAACGCUGGCGGCGUGCUUAACACAUGCAAGUCGAACGGUGAAGCCAAGCUUGCUUGGUGUUUCAGUGGCGAACGGGUGAGUAACACGUGAGCACCCUGCCCUGUACUCUUGGAUAAGCGCUGGAAACGGCGUCUAUUACUGGAUAUGAGCUUCUUCCUCCUGGUGGGGGCUGGAAAGAUUCUGUGGUAUGGGAUGGGCUCGCGGCCUAUCAGCUUGUAGGGGGGGUAAUGGUACACCAACGCAUAGACGGCUAUCCGGCAUGGGAGGGUGACCAGCGUCACUGGGCCUGCGGGACGGCGCAGUCGGCUACGGUAGGCAGCAGUGGGGAGCAUUAUACAGUGAGCGCGAGUGUGAGACAACGGCGCUCCGUUAGGGAAGACCGCCUUCUGGUUAUGAACCUCAUUUAGCAAAGAAGAAGCGGUAGUGACGGUACCUACAGAAAAAGCGCCGGCUAACUACGUG